UGAGUAACACGUGGGGUAACCUGCCCAAGAGACUGGGAUAACACCUGGAAACAGAUGCUAAUACCGCAUAACAACAAAAGCCACAUGGCUUUUGUUUGAAAGAUGGCUUUGGCUAUCACUCUGGGAUGGACCUGCGGUGCAUUAGCUAGUUGGUAAGGUAACGGCUUACCAAGGCGAUGAUGCAUAGCCGAGUUGAGAGACUGAUCGGCCACAAUGGAACUGAGACACGGUCCAUACUCCUACGGGAGGCAGCAGUAGGGAAUCUUCCACAAUGGGCGCAAGCCUGAUGGAGCAACACCGCGUGAGUGAAGAAGGGUUUCGGCUCGUAAAGCUCUGUUGUUGGAGAAGAACGUGCGUGAGAGUAACUGUUCACGCAGUGACGGUAUCCAACCAGAAAGUCACGGCUAACUACGUGCCAGCAGCCGCGGUAAUACGUAGGUGGCAAGCGUUAUCCGGAUUUAUUGGGCGUAAAGCGAGCGCAGGCGGUUGCUUAGGUCUGAUGUGAAAGCCUUCGGCUUAACCGAAGAAGUGCAUCGGAAACCGGGCGACUUGAGUGCAGAAGAGGACAGUGGAACUCCAUGUGUAGCGGUGGAAUGCGUAGAUAUAUGGAAGAACACCAGUGGCGAAGGCGGCUGUCUGGUCUGCAACUGACGCUGAGGCUCGAAAGCAUGGGUAGCGAACAGGAUUAGAUACCCUGGUAGUCCAUGCCGUAAACGAUGAGUGCUAGGUGUUGGAGGGUUUCCGCCCUUCAGUGCCGGAGCUAACGCAUUAAGCACUCCGCCUGGGGAGUACGACCGCAAGGUUGAAACUCAAAGGAAUUGACGGGGGCCCGCACAAGCGGUGGAGCAUGUGGUUUAAUUCGAAGCUACGCGAAGAACCUUACCAGGUCUUGACAUCUUGCGCUAACCUUAGAGAUAAGGCGUUCCCUUCGGGGACGCAAUGACAGGUGGUGCAUGGUCGUCGUCAGCUCGUGUCGUGAGAUGUUGGGUUAAGUCCCGCAACGAGCGCAACCCUUGUUACUAGUUGCCAGCAUUAAGUUGGGCACUCUAGUGAGACUGCCGGUGACAAACCGGAGGAAGGUGGGGACGACGUCAGAUCAUCAUGCCCCUUAUGACCUGGGCUACACACGUGCUACAAUGGACGGUACAACGAGUCGCAAGCUCGCGAGAGUAAGCUAAUCUCUUAAAGCCGUUCUCAGUUCGGACUGUAGGCUGCAACUCGCCUACACGAAGUCGGAAUCGCUAGUAAUCGCGGAUCAGCAUGCCGCGGUGAAUACGUUCCCGGGCCUUGUACACACCGCCCGUCA
Molecule: ribosomal RNA, 1306 nt
Filed under: uncultured bacterium
Lineage: Bacteria
Description: bacterial SSU rRNA
Rfam family: Bacterial small subunit ribosomal RNA
Source: RNAcentral